CAGAGAGGACCACCAAUACAGUGAGACGAGACUAAACAUAAGGAGACAUACAUUCUAACUGGAAAGCUGUAAUAAUCUAAAAUGAUUCAAGUAUUGUGAUUGGACAAAGAUGUGUUGUAGCUUAGCUGUGCUGCUUUUAAGCGCACCCGCCUCACUUUACUGGUUGCCAUGCCAACUCUUGUGGUAAAUAGGAAGCUUGUUUUCUCCUGGUUUGUGCCUCUUUUUUUAGUACACUUGCUUACAUCUGUUGAAGCAAAAUACCUUUGAGGAAGUUAUUCACUGUCAUAAAAGGUGGUGUAAUGUUGGUGCCAAACAGAAGGUACAUGGUGCAUCAAAGUAAAGAAAAACCUUCACAUAAUGCGGCUCUGGUAAAUACUGUAUGAUGACAGCGAAAAGAGUGAAUGGUGCUUUCAAGAUUUAGGGAAUUAAGAAGUAAAUUACAUUAAUCUUUGGGAUUUAACAUACCCAAUACAUUUUUUUUUAAAAACACCAGCUAAUGCUUCAGUGGAGCCUCGUGGAAGUUUAGGCAGGCACAGAAGCAGAUUUACAGUCACAUGUAGGGCUGCAACUAAUGAUUAUUUUCAUUGUCGAUUAAUCUACUGAUUAUUUUCUCGAUUCAUCAAUUAGUUGUUUUGUCUAUAAACUGUCAGAAAAUGGCAAAAAAUGGCCAUUACAAUUUUCUAAAGCCCAAGGUGACAUCUUCAAAUGUCUUGUUCUGUCCAAUCAACUGUCCAAAACCUAAAGAUAUUCACUUUACAAUGAUAUAUAACAGAGUAAAGCAGAAAACCCCCACUUUGGAGGAGCUGAAACAAGCAAAUGUUUUCCAUUUUUGCUUGAAAAAUGACUCAAACCAUUAAUCACUUAGCAAAAUAGUUGCAGAUUAAUGUUCUGUAGUCACAUGGUUUACAUAUUAUCAAUCAUAUAUUACCACAGUCCAUAUAAACAUUUGAUAAUCAUUUCAUAUUUGUAUACAUGGCAAGUCAAGACCAAAAACACAAAUUUGUCUUCAAGAGCUUUUUUUUAGUUUACAGCAUGUGAAUUUUGAAUGUCUUUCAAUGUGUGUUCAUGUUCACUGAAACAUAUAUCUCAGGCUCUUCCUGGGAGUUUGUAAUCUCUAGGACAGUCUGUGUCAAGCUUGCUCAGAUUUGUUCCAGAGCAUCACAUGAGCAGAGUCACGUCACCAAACUAAAAAGCUUUGUGCUUUUGUUUGUCACUGUAAUACAUCUGGCUGUAUCUGUGAAUAAAUUAGUUACUUUACAGUCUGUGUACUUGCGCUGAGACAGCUACAUCUUUGAGCCACAGGAGUGAGAGAGGUUAACAAGAAAACAUGGAGUAUGGUGAGAAAACAGGUUAUAAGAAAACAGUGCAGUGGUACAGUAGAGCCACACAUGUCUUAACAUGACAGACAUGAACCUAAGACACAGUAGAAUUGAGAGGAAUGACUCACACUCAAAGAAUUGAGUGACACAAAAAAUGAUCACGGUAAUGAUGAUAGUACUUUGCAGCAUAACUGCAAUUCAUGCAAAUAUAUUACUUAUUCAUUACAAAACGAAACAUAUUGGAACUUAGAUAAAUUAGACCCAGACAUACAGGGGGUAGACAAAAUAGCACAAACACCUGUACAAUUUAAUGCAAUUCAAUACAACAAUGGUUCAAAACAGCUACUUUUGUGAAGCUUAUAAUGGCUUAUUUGUUGUUGCUUUUUGUUAGGACUGUGUCAGAGAGGUGGUGAUUCAGCGCUGGUUAUUUGUGAGGCCAUAACCUUUGAACUGCACUUGUACUCUAAGUGUUAUCUCUGUAUGUAAUAUAUACACACAUCCAACUAGGGUGAGGCCGCCUUUUUUCAGAAAUUCUUGCAAUAAAACAAUGGAUUGUAAUCUUUUUUCUCUUUAAAAACAAAGCACUAUCUACUUGGGACCCUUUGAUACAGAUUACAUAUGUCUACAAGCUGUAUUACUUCAACCAAUGGGUCAUUUUUGUUUCUCAAAUUGUUCCAUUUUAUUACUUUUUCGAGGACGGAAGUGUAAGCUAGCUAGUAAAACACACUUAAUUUUGUUUAGCAGAAAUAGGAUUUUGGGGGGUCUGGACCCACUAGUUUGGGAACUACUUCUGCUGUAACGCAUUGCAGAUUGCCUCAAAUGAAAUGUGCGCUACAGAGGUGAAUCGUAUGAAGACUGAACUAAAGCCACUGUCAAGUGUUUGGAAACAUGUUUAAAUAAUGAUAUCAUGCAGGAAGUAUCCAUUAAAAUAAACAGUAGAGUGUGGAUGUAAAAGCGCUGCAUCUGGUCAGCAACAAUGUUGAGGUUGUUCUGUGUGCGGUGUUCAAAAAAUGCUACAUUGAUACUAAAGGUGCUGCUGUGCACCAAAUAACUAGUCUUUAUACCAGCACAUUGUAGUCCACACACCCACUUCAGCUUUAGCAAGGCAGAGUGGAUCCAUAUUCAUACUGUUUAAACCAAAUUCUGGCUCAGCUACACGCAACAGAUAGAGGACCAGACAACAUUUUCCUCUCUUUAACUAUCCACUUUUUGCAGUCAUAUGCUCAUCCAUUUCUGUAGCCAUAUUAGCGGUGUUUGAAGAGUUGUGUGCCCCGAGACGCCCUCCUGCAUCAGUCUCACUGUGGUACUGAGCUGUUAUACAAACACUUAACUAUAGGUUGCAAUUUAAGAUGCUGGUGUUGGUGGAUCUGGUACAAAUCACUGCUUUUUCAAAGUUGCUUAAAUGAAAAUGCUAAUGAACGUUUAUUGUUCAUUAUGAUUUUUAGUCAAAAGGUAAACUGAAACUAUUUUCUUUAACAAUAUUAUCUAUGAUAUUCCAUACAAAUCAUGAUGAUGUCAAUAUGAUCAUUUGAAUAAAAACUAACAAUGAUUAUAUCAUUUUGUGGUCUAAACAUAAGCACAAUAACAACAAUAUCCAUGAAUCAGCGACAAAUGAUGUCUGUAUUGAUUCUUUCUGUGAUGAUAAGUAUUGAACCUAAAAAUCCUAUAUCACUGCAAAACAGCAAAAGACAAGCAAAGACAAUGCCGAGAUAUCAAACAUGAACAGCGAAUAUUAUGUUUAUACUUUGGGCGUUAUUUAUAUAGCACCUUUUGUACACAAAAUGCAGCUAAAAGGGACAAACAACUGAAAGCAGAAGAAAAGUAAUUCCCCUUUACAGUCUCUCACUAUUAUUAUAUAGUGGGAUUUCAAUGUCAUGACACAACAACUGAAUCCUGCAAACCAAGUUCACCAAGUUUAUAAAAAAAGUAACGUUAUACCCAAAAUGUCUAUGACCAAACUUGGUGCUCAGUGUGCAGGAAUUCAACACUUAAUUUUCCUUCGCUUCUGGCUACCAGGUGUGAAUAAGACGACGCUGAAUUUAAACAACUUAAAAACGCCAGCUGAAAAUAACCUAAUUACUAUCCUACUAUUACUAACUAGUGGUGGACAUCAGUUAGACAAUUUAACGGGCGAUUUUCCAACCCAAGCAGAUACAGUGAUAUACAGUAUAUCAAUAUCUACAGAAGGUCUAAUGGUUAUAUACAUUUUUUUAUGUUGCCCAUUCUUUGUUCACUUUGCAAACCACAUGGAAAUACAAGAAAUAACCUAUGCAGUUUGAACAAAAAUAUGAACUUGUUAGUGCAGUCUUUUUGUUCCUCUGGCCUAAAGCGUUUAAAAAUGUAUCAUACUAUUGUAGCUUAUAUUAAAACUUCAAACAUUGUGCACAAGGGUUAGCACAAACAAUUACAGGGCGUUAAUAAAGUAUGUAAGUGGGCUCAGAGCCAUUCCAGUGUGCCUAUAAGUACAUAAACUGUGCUGGAGGGUCAUAAUGUUUUUGGUGAAAAUGCAUCUCAUAAAACAUAACAUAGUCCUAAACAAACAAUAAGUUAAUUUUACUGUAUAUAGAUCAUUAAUUCAAGUUAGUAAAUCAGUUAAAACCUCUUUAUCAAGCUGCUCUAUACUCAGGACAGGAUGGAAGGAUGUUGACACAUGAACUGACGUAAUUUUCAUUUAUGAUUUAAAAGGACAAAGUAUUUCAGGUAUGUCACCAAGUUGUAUAAACGCCAAUUAAUUAGUCCAACCCUUCGUACAAAGCACACCCUGCAAUUUAGCUUCUGUCCUCGUGUUCUGACAAAGAAAUGAUGGGAUGGGCAGGGAGGACCGGAUUAUGUUAAUACAGGGGUCCUGAAUGCUCUGUAUGCAUGAUUCAAAGAGGCUGGACGGUCAAAUUAUCGAUUCUCUGGUUUAUGAUGAUUUGGUCUGUAAAAAAUGUUGUUUCGCUGGCACCAGUAUCACAGUGCAUUUCCUUGUGAUACUGAAGCAGACAUCUAAAGUUUCUGCUUUCCGCCAGUUAAGCUUUUGGCUAUUUAAUGGCUCUUUGACAUUGAAAUAAUGGCCCACACAUUGUCUGCGUUAAAAAGGAUGAGACUUUUUGGUGAACACUGUUAAAUCUCAGCUGCAUAUAAAACUCCUUGAAAGAACUUAAAUUCACUGAACCAAUACAGCAGUGCUAGGCGCUAAUUCAAUAUUAUUGUCUGUCGACUUUCAGUGGAAUCAUAUUAUGACAAUAUGAUCAUAUUAUGUUAUUGUUUUACAGAAUUAUGUUGCUUAAAUGAAUGAUGUAAAAUGAAGCAAACUGUAAGUGAAAACUACAAAUAUGAGUUUCUCAGGUUGAGAAAACAAUCUGAACUCUAGAGGUGCUCAGAAUCGUGGAAAGUUCAAUGAGAAAAUUCAAUCUGCUGAUAAGGACCAUGUGAUACGGUCAAAAAUCUAUUAAGGACUUUGCUUUACAUGUGUGGAAAGUUUUGUCUGAUGUAAUUGUAAUUUUAGUAAGUGUACACAUUAUGUUGUAGUUUUCUUUAAUUCCUUGAGUUUAUUUGACUAAUUCAUGUUGUGAAGCUGUACAAUACACUGUGGUAAAUUAUAUGGUUUUAGUAGGAAUCAUUUCACUAUAGUAUUUUGGACUACUUCAGAAAUUGGGUUUAUUAUUAUUAUUAUUAUUAUUAUUAUUAUUAUUAUUAUUAUUAUUAUUACUCCAAUCCUAAACGUUUCAUUAUCAUUUACAGCACUUUAACUAAUAUUGUUGUUUAGAAUCAGAAUCAGAAAUACUUUAUUGAUCCCCGUAGGGAAACUCUUUGUUACAGUAGCUUGCCUUUACGUCAGUGCACACAGGAGAAGUACUAGAAAACGAUAUGAUACACUGUAAACACUAUAAAACAGGUCAGAAAAUAAAUUAAGUAUCAGGUUGGUAUAAGUAUAAGAUAAACUAAGUGUCGAGUACCAAGUGGGUUUACUGGUUGAUGAUGAACAUCUACAUGCCCCAUUGCCUUGGAGUGAUUUUAGUUCCUUCCUGUCGUUAUCUGUUUACAGUAAAGCCGAGAGUCAGACGUGUAGCCUGAGAAAGUGCAAGCUGGAUGUUUUACUGUCUUGUUGUGUUGGUGUUGAUUAAAGAAGAUUUUUUACAAAGAGAAACCAGCCUGCUUAUUACCCACAUCCAAGAGCGACUGGAGAAUGCUACCACAUCAAGAAAAUAGGGUUACAUAUGUGUAACAGUGGAAUACAGAACAUCAAAUUGAUGAUUUUAUAGGUUAAUUUGCAUACAUGUGUAUUGUGAUAUAUUAAUAUUGGCAAAAUAUUGUUAUUCAUAUUUAGAUGUUGAUUGAGUGUUAAAAAGUAUGAGACUCUGCACUUUGAUAUAGGGAUGCAUCGAUCGGAGACACUAGAUCAGUAUUGGCUCUGACAUGUUUGAUCCACAUUAAAAACAAUUUCUUUGUCAAUGUCAUUAUAACGUUCAGCUAUCAGUCACAUUUAUUAAGUCAUGGUGGGCCACUGACACAGUUUUUAGCACCACAGCGAUCCCUGGCCUCUAGACCUGAUUAAUGAUUCCAAUGAUACAGAUUUUAUGUGUGAAAAAGGGAGCACUGAUAUCUAUUCUAUUCCCCUAGGCUAUAUGAUGGUACUGGAACCAGUAUGAGGAGAUUUGGAUCAGUGCAUCCCUACUUUGGUACACACGGUUUGAUCUCAGCAUAUACAGCAUAUGACUGAUUUCUGUGUUUUGCAAAAUUACCAUUUAUGCGCCCGUUUUCCUCCUCAGUUGUAUAGAUAAAACACACACACACACGUACUGUAGAUGACUGACUUGCAAUACAUAUAAACCACAUGUACAUUAUUACCAUCGUUAUCAAGGUCAAAAUAUGAUGACAGUGUGUAUCACAGUGUCAUGGUCUGUGGUUCUGCAUGCUGACCUCUGUGUCAAUUCUAAUGGCUGUUUUACUUGUGCAUUAAGACAACUUUUAAGCUUUUCUGCAUGUUGCAGGCCUGUUGUUUGCAUGGGUGUGUCCUGUUCAAUAUCAGCUCACUUCCAGCAUUAAAAAAAGCAAUCUCUCUUGUUAUAAUCACGGACCUAAUUGUUGCUUAUAUCAGGAUACUAUAUGGGUAACAUUAACUAAACCUGUGGGACGUUAUUGGCGCAGUAAAGUGGUUGAAAAGUGUGCGCGUGUACUUCAGCCAGUGUGCAGACAGCGCUUUCAUUGUUUGUAAAGUAGGAAGGGACCUCAGAGGGAGGACCUGUCCCCUCACAGUAGUUACACUGUGAACUUUAUGCGGACACAGCUCCGAUUUAACACCCCAUAAAGAAAAAUUGACAACCGAUCUACGAGCUCUGGUUGAACUGAUUCUGGUCUUGGUCUUGGUCUUUCGUUGUGAAGGUGAUCUGGAAGAGGCCUUACCUUUUCACCACUCAGUGCCCAGGGACUUCCCUCUUCAUCGGUUUGAACUGGUCUGAUCUUCCCGCUUAAACAGCUUUGCUUUUGGUGACUGGAGGAGACGCCCAGAAAGUGGCAGACAAACCUGUUUUCUACUAUUUGGAUUAACCUCAGGCUUUUUAGCUGCACACAGUGUGGCCCUGUGACAUUUCAUAUGUGUGUUUUCAUGCUCAGGAACAGCAAACUUUAUACAACUGUGUGUUAUAAAACAUGAUUAAACUGUACAAAAUAUA
Molecule: long non-coding RNA, 6976 nt
Organism: Siniperca chuatsi (mandarin fish)
Lineage: Eukaryota; Metazoa; Chordata; Actinopteri; Centrarchiformes; Sinipercidae
Exons: 2
Source: RefSeq, a predicted model, not a curated record